RNAcentral lists this long non-coding RNA (421 nucleotides) under Brassica napus (rape). Its description in RNAcentral is "long non-coding RNA (BNAP_LNC026200)". Lineage: Eukaryota; Viridiplantae; Streptophyta; Magnoliopsida; Brassicales; Brassicaceae. The record is from RNAcentral.
CGGUGGGAUUAGUCUCUGGUUGCCGGAAUCCUAGUGAGCUGAGAUCGUUUUGUGGCUGCCUGGUUUUGAAGCUCUUUGUGUUGCUCUCUUGUUGUUGUUGUUCUUGUGUUGGAGAUAGCUCUUUAUAGUUAUAGUCUCUGUUCUAUUCAGGGUGUUGAACAUGGAGGACGUGGUUGUACUCAUACCCAUUUAUAAAGUAGAGUUUUGAGUGGACUACGGUCCCGUUGGUUUUUCCUUCUCACAUCGAGAAAGUUUUCCAACGUUAAGUAGUGUUUGUCUCAUUUAGUUUCUGCUUAUACUAUAUCCUGCUAUCGUCGAAGUAUUUUCCUCACAUGUUCACACAAGGUCAGAGAAAAACGAUCAGGCUGUUACAUUCCGCUGCGCCUCGUGCCCGCUUUCCCGACACAACUUUCAUCGGCGG